GAUGAACGCUGGCGGCGUGCCUAAUACAUGCAAGUCGAGCGAACAGAUAAGGAGCUUGCUCCUUUGACGUUAGCGGCGGACGGGUGAGUAACACGUGGAUAACCUACCUAUAAGACUGGGAUAACUUCGGGAAACCGGAGCUAAUACCGGAUAACAUAUUGAACCGCAUGGUUCAAUAGUGAAAGGCGGCUUUGCUGUCACUUAUAGAUGGAUCCGCGCCGUAUUAGCUAGUUGGUAAGGUAACGGCUUACCAAGGCAACGAUACGUAGCCGACCUGAGAGGGUGAUCGGCCACACUGGAACUGAGACACGGUCCAGACUCCUACGGGAGGCAGCAGUAGGGAAUCUUCCGCAAUGGGCGAAAGCCUGACGGAGCAACGCCGCGUGAGUGAUGAAGGUCUUCGGAUCGUAAAACUCUGUUAUCAGGGAAGAACAAAUGUGUAAGUAACGGUGCACAUCUUGACGGUACCUGAUCAGAAAGCCACGGCUAACUACGUGC
RNAcentral lists this ribosomal RNA (498 nucleotides) under uncultured bacterium. RNAcentral's name for it is "partial 16S ribosomal RNA". It matches the Rfam family "Bacterial small subunit ribosomal RNA", at positions 28 to 508 of the family's 1533-position model. The record is from RNAcentral.